This 4562-nucleotide long non-coding RNA is filed under the name Salvia miltiorrhiza (redroot sage). RNAcentral's name for it is "long non-coding RNA (SMIL_LNC007124)". The record is from RNAcentral. Lineage: Eukaryota; Viridiplantae; Streptophyta; Magnoliopsida; Lamiales; Lamiaceae.
UUGUGAUUUGACUCAUUCUCGCAAGCCAGCUGAUUCCUUUUACCUCCAGCUUCACUUCGGUAAAUUUAAAUUUUAUUCGAUUAUCCGUAUUUGCUUUUAAUUUCUCGUGGUGUUGACGGGCUAUUGUAUAUGGAUUCUACAAAACUUUCUGAUGAAUCAAUUAUAGAUUAUAUCUCGUAUUUUCUUGAAAUUUUGAUGCAUCUGGGUUACAAUGCAUAUUGUUGAAGAUAUAGUGUACAAGCAGCUAAAGAAUUCCAUUUUAAGGAGGAAAACAAGAGGAUAAAUUUGGAAGAGAAUUGACUAAGAUCAUGAAUGAUUUAGAAGUAUUUGUUUCACUGUAUAACAUGAAUUCAAGCAAGAAAAAUGAUGCGAGACUACAUUUUGUUUAAGCUUUUUAAUUGGUCUACAUUUUCUUCAUUUUAGACUCCUCUGAAUCAUUUGAGCGGUAUGUUUGUUAGUUGUUAGUAUUGUUACUGUUUUAAGGGAUUUCGUGCCUGAUUCCGAAGUACAAAAACCUGCAUGCUGCACCAUCACUUGUCUAUGUUCAACUCAUUUGAUCAGGAACCUUACCGACAAAUAUUUUGACCAAGGAUGUAUGGAUUGAGAUACAAGCCUGUUUUGGACAAAGUUGGAUCAUGAGAUAGCAUAGAUAGUGUUAUUUUGUGUCAUAGGUUAGGCACUCAUAAAAUAUUUCAAUAUGUUGUCAUGUUAGAUCGUUUACAGCAAUCUCUUUGGUGCCAAGUUAUUCUUUAUACCUGCCUUGACAUCUUAGUUGCUAACUGUCGGAAGGGGGACAAUGCAAACAAGGUCCAAGGGAAACAUAAUUUGUGAUUUACUAGCUUUGCGGUUAGUUCUUGGAGCAGCAUUUAGUUGAAUGUAUAUAUUGUCCUCUUUUAUUUCAUACAGUUAGUGUUCAGUCCCAUUUGGUUUAAUUCCAACCCUAUUAAUCCAUUUUCUUCGAGUUUCGAUGUAUGUGGAUGUUUUAUCCAUUCAUUUACUAUUCUCAAGUUUACUUUUCCAUGUUUCUUUUCUUAAGUCUAAUGGUUUAUUUAAUUGUGAUUCAACUGUUUUUUGCUUACUACUGUACUGUGAAUGAAGAAGGUGAAGUACCUAGCCAUUCAUGAAAAACUUCUGAAUGUUACUCUUUUGCAUGUGAUCCUAGAAUUAGCACAUCAUAACAAAUAGUAGGACAAAACCAACAGUCCUAAUGGUGAACUAGGAAACCGAGUAUUAACUAUUAAUUCAUGCUCAAUUUAAUUGACGUAAAUCACCUAAAGUUAACCAGAAUGUGGAUACGAUUCCUUUAUACAAAUAAAUUAGUUUGCAGAGUAUGAUAUCCAAACCUUAGCUGUAUGCUAGACUUAAAAUUCUCCAAAAUCACUGGAAUGGCUUGCUCUUCAAAUAAAAUAUCCUUCUCUAUAACUGAAGCACCAGUCAACAGAAAAGGCUGUUAGAGUACUAAGAGCUUUGUUUUCGCAUAAGAUAAAAGGAGCAGAAAAUCAUUAUUCUUCCCAUCCCUUCUCACAGAAGGGGCACAUGUCUUGUUUCCUUGUUUGAGAUUAUUAUCUGUAAAACUGGAGUAUGCUUUGGGUACUUGGGAUUAUUGUUUACUAAGAUGAAUUAGAAACUUGGGAUAUCCUAAAGUCCUUGAUUAUUUCUGCAAUUUGAGAUAACUUGCUUGAUUCAUAUCGUGUUGAAAGGGCUAGCAUUGCAGAAAUCCUUGUCUCAAUACAGCCAAUUGAAGUUUCAAUUUACCACUCUAACUGGCUUGCCGAUUAUAUUAUCUUCUAAUCUUCCUUUAAAUGCUACAAUUGAAUACUCAUGAGUCAUACUAGAUUGCUCACUUAUCCACGUGUAAAUACAAUAAUGACUACUGAUUCCUCUCGAGGUCAUAGAUUAAAGAGAUGGUGGCUCAUAAUCCAAAAGCAGAGAUUUCACCCAGAUAAGGAGGAUGUGAAUUAUUUGGAGUUGGAUUUCAACACAAGUCUCUCAAGCGGAUCAUAUAACAAAAGGACCAGCAUGUUAAAUUCAUCAUUUUCUUGAACUCAUACUGGAAGAGUUGGAUUAUAGUUCAUCCAAUCUUCAUUCAUUUCAACUUGUUUGUUGAUUUUGAAUGAAAAGAUUAGUUAAACAUAGAAACAGUCAAGACAACAAAUAUAAAACGAUACCUAGAGGAAACUUCCAAACUGCACUUAGAAGCCGUGACUUUGCUUGGGAAGAGAUAUGGAAAAGGAAAGAACGCUUCCAAACUAUAACUAGCUAUUAACUGAAGCUGAGAGUCUUUGUAUUUUCUAUCUGGAUGCUAAUAUUCUACUAUUUGGUAUCCUAAUAAAUGUUUUUUCUUUUUCCUUUAUUUUUCUCCUCAAAUUAGCUUUCAGUGAGUAUGAUCUUCUCUUUUGUGGAUUGUGGUUAUGAUGAUACUCCUGCACUCUAAUAUGAAAAUUUGUUAGCUACAUCUUGGUAUCAUCUGUAUCAUGGAGUAAUGGGAUACUCAUACCACAUUUACUAAAUAGAUACAGAAAUGGUGGGAUAUAACGUGAAGAGGAUGAGAAAGCUGUAAGAAAUAACUAGCUGCUAUGCUCAUUCACUUCUUUGACUAUCAUCACAUGCUAGCAGUUUACCUAAUUUAGGUUUGGAAUUGAGUUAAAGUAGAUUAAACUGCUAGUAUAUAAUUUAGGUUUGGAAUUGACUAUCAUCACAUGCUAGUAGAUUAUGUUGAGUUUAGAAGCCCUUCGGCUUCAUCUACUGGAAGUUGAUAUGAUUCCAAAUAUGAGUAGAAAAAGUGUCUGAACCUAUAUGUCUUACUUGUAAUUUUGCACUGCUUAUCAAAUUGUCCACCAGAUUUGCUAGAGGAAAGGAAACAAUUAGAGUCAAACAUGAUCAUUUGUACGUUGUCGACAUUUUCAGUCAUCAACACCGACAAUUAAUUAAGUUGACAAUUUAGCCUUAUUGUUUAAGUAACUCUUGACUAAGAGGGGCUACUUCUGAUCUAUUCACACCAUUGUUAGUUUCAUGAAUUUCCUCCUUGAAAUAAAUAGGGUUGUAAUUUCCUUGCCCCCACUUCCUUCAAUGGAACCUGGUAAACAAAUGAACAAGGUCAUAGAUGUGCUAUUCAUUGACCUUAUAAUUUUUAGGUAGAAAUCAGUGUUCUUUCUCUUGGACAAGUUAGCAAAACAAGUCGAUAUGCAUUCAUUUUACCAUUAUCAGAAUUUGAUGUUAAAAGUGGACUGGUAACACCAUAAUUUUGCUACUUUAUUGCCAUGAGUGAGGGACCUUUUGGCAAAAAAUGGUAAUAAUGUUAAAGUUUAUAACUGCCAGUUCCUUUGAUUCACUACUCUGACAUAAUAGCUCUCCAAUCCAAUGUUUGUGCUUUCAGAAGGUUGAUUAGCUAAGAACUCUCUUGCUGCACCGACUUCCCCUAGCAGAAGCGUCUUCCAAAACCUACAUCGCCGCACAUGCAGAAACACGUAAGAAAUCCCUCAUAAGUCAUGCAGAAAGAUCUAUGAAACAGCGCUAGUGCCUUAAUUUUCUAGUGUGGAUGUUGAAGUUCCUUCAAGGCUGGAGACAUCGUAAUUGGGCUAAUAAUAAGGUAUUGAAUUUUGGAAAAAUAAUAGUAAUGAUAAAGGUAGUUAAAAGAUGGACAGCUAUGUGCAUAUAUUUUUCUUGGCAGAAUUUAAUGACGUCUGAUGGGAUUCAGUGUCCCACAUUGGCCCUUCAUGCAUCUGUUUUCAAUAUGGUAGAUAUAAGCAGGCUGGCAUCCCCUACAUAUUAUACUCCUAAAUUCUUAGCUAAAAGUUAGACUUGGUUGCUAUGCCAAUACUCUUUUAACUACUACUAAUUCUUUAAUAUUAUUGUCUCACAUUUAUUGUGCACAUUCUUUCAUUGAUACAGUAUACAGACAAGAUAACUACGUCGCGUUUUAUUUUUCAGAUCAUGAAACUAAAAUCUUCAGAUUCCCCUCUUUUUCUUUUCUCUUUCAGCAGAAAGUUGAAGGAAUCCAUGAUUCUUCCUACAAGGUAGUUAUAUUUAGUUUUGGAAUUCUUGAUUUUUUUUUUUUUAAUUAUUACUAGUAGUAUAUUUUUUCAGAAUUAAAUGGUCCUUUGUGUUAGAUGGGCUACAGCUAAUUGAACCAUUUAGUUCAACAGGCCUGAAGACUAAAAUAUAUAGUCAAAGUAAUGUGAUGAGUGAUGACUACUGCAAGAGUGUUUUUGUAAAGGCAGAAAACGAGGGUGGGAUCGGACCCACGUUACUCAAUAUUGAUGCAUUACAAAAGACCCAUCCCAAUUUUGAUUUCUACAGCUUUAGAUUCUUCAACUUUACACUUUUUGUUCACCCAACUUUUGAGUUUUUUUUCUUUCUUUUUUCCCAUAUUUAUUUCAACAACACUACAUUGCAUAUACGAGACAAUAUUCUCAUUGAGUUAUGUUUUGCGCUAAGGAUAAACAUAUUUGGUGUGGUAGUAUAUAUUGGAAGUGUUAACAACAAAUAAAAGUAAAAGGAUGGGUUAAUUGCUAGACAAAAUUACGAAUUUUGAUCUGAUCACAUUUUGAAGUGUAUAUUGG